RNAcentral lists this long non-coding RNA (578 nucleotides) under Solanum tuberosum (potato). RNAcentral's name for it is "long non-coding RNA (STUB_LNC007744)". The record is from RNAcentral. Lineage: Eukaryota; Viridiplantae; Streptophyta; Magnoliopsida; Solanales; Solanaceae.
AGCAGCCCUCCUCCUAAAACACAAAACCCACAUCAUCAAUCCCAAAACUAAAGAGCCAAGUACAAUCAGUAGACAUACCACAAAAAAGAUCCGAUUUUAACAUCGAGAACAACUAAAUUUAAGCAACCCUCCUCCUAAAACACACAACCCAUAUCACUAACACCAAAAUUAAAGACCCAAGUACAAUCAGUAGACAGAUUUUUGUACAAUCAGUAGCAAAAACACAAAAAAGAUCAGAUUUUUACUACAAGAACAGCUAAAUUUAGCAACCCUCAUCCUAAACACAAACCCACAUCAUAAAUACUGAAAUUAAACACAAGGAAACAAAAACUACCUAAAAAGGAUCAAGAUCAGUACAGAUCGAAAAGAAACCCCCAAAAAAAGAAACAGUUAAACUAAGAAGAAACAGUGAAGAAACAAAUCAAAACUGAAAAUUGGUGAAGACUUACUGAGUAUAGCAAAAACAAAAUGCAAAGAUUUAGAGAAAAGACUGUUACCCCUCCCUCUAUUAUACCCUUUUUGACAAAAAUUAGGGAGGGCCGUUCAAAAGAGAGAUUUUUUGAGAGAAGAAACUAGUC